This is a long non-coding RNA of Mustela erminea (ermine), 1321 nucleotides long. RefSeq lists it as uncharacterized. Lineage: Eukaryota; Metazoa; Chordata; Mammalia; Carnivora; Mustelidae. The record is from RefSeq and is a predicted model, not a curated record. The transcript has 3 exons.
GCGGAUUUUUGUGUAUGUGAGCCGAUGUGCGAGCAUUUCCUGCUCUAUCGGGAAGGGCUUAUAGGGCAGGGAAACUUGAGUUAAGGUUAAAAGAUGAGGAGUGUUUGGCAGGAGGACAGGAGUGUGUGGUGGGGCCUUCUCAGCAAAGACACACAGCGUGAUGGACUUGACCUGUAAAUCGUCCAGUUGGUUAGAGCAUGCGGUGCAUGUGAGGGAAGAAAUACACUGGUAGGUAGGGUCAGAUCUUGGAGGACUUUGGAUGCCAUGCUCUUUGGAUCUUAUUUUUAUGGGUCAUUGUGGAGAGGGGGAAGUAGAUUCGGAUUUCAGAAUCAGCACCCUGGCAGCACUGAGGAAAGCGACUUGGAGGAGGAGGACAAAGGCACUGGACGCAGAGACCAGUUAGGAGGCUCCUACGUGGGAGAAAGGCUGGAAUAAGGAAGGAAGCUUCCUUCCUCUGAAGGAAGACCAAGCUGGGAGACAUCAGGCUCAGGAGCAUACAGAACAAGGAAGGGAGACGAUUGGGUUGGAGGAACAUGGAAGGAGGUUUUAGCUGUUCUGGUACAAAUCAGUUUUUAUUGGUUAUAAUGCUUUCUGAGAAGUAGGGAAGAGAAAUUCUAAAAAUGUAAGUAAAAUAUUUAAUAUAAUUGUAGCUUCAUAAUGUUACCAGUAAUUCUCUUGCAUUCAACUGGAAACCAAGGUCCUGUGUUGACCUGGGCUGCCUUUCUGGUUCACCACACUGCUCAUGCCCUUGGGUUUCUGUCAUUCCCUGAGGGCUCAUUAUGCAUUAUCCUAACUGAGCUGGCCCCAUGGUGGUCUUUCUGUCCACUUUGCUUGUAACCCUUCUUCACCGGCUUUCUCAAAUUUAACAAUAUUGCUUAAAUCUGCUGUCUUCAACAAUGUCUGAUAUUUUGUCUUUAUUCAUCAAAAGAAUUGCAUUUGUUUCCCCAAAAGUUUUUUCACCCAAAACUGGAAACAACUUUAAGUAUCCUUUAGUGGGCAAAUGGGUAAACAUACUGUGGUAUAUCCAUAUAAUCGACCACUGUUCAGCAUUAUAGUAAGUGAAAGAAGCCAGUCACAAAAGAUUAUAUACUGUAAGAUUGCACUUGUUCGAGAUGUGGAAAAAGGCAAAACUAUAGGAACAGAGAACAGGUUGCCAGAGGUUGGGGUGGGGAGAGGGUCUGACCAGAAGGAGAACAUGAGCAAAUUCUUUAGGGUCUUGAAAAUUUCUGUGUCCUGUUUGUGGGGGUGGUUACAAGAAUCUGUGCCUGUGUUAAAAUUCACAGGAUUGGAGAUGCCUGGGGGGCUCAGUCGGUUAGGCAUC